RNAcentral lists this transfer RNA (57 nucleotides) under Zootermopsis nevadensis. It matches the Rfam family "tRNA", at positions 9 to 63 of the family's 71-position model. Rfam says of the family: Transfer RNA (tRNA) molecules are approximately 80 nucleotides in length. The record is from Rfam by way of RNAcentral. Lineage: Eukaryota; Metazoa; Arthropoda; Insecta; Blattodea; Termopsidae.
GGUCUAGUGGUCAGAACGCUGGGCUUAUAAUCCUGGGGUCCCGGGUUCGAUUCCCGG